GCUUGUGUGUAAUGUUUAAGUGUUGUGUUGCAGAAAUAGUCGACCCUGACGUCCCGUACACCGAUGUAACCAUCACACCGGGAGUCCAACCAAACAGGAUCACAGAUUUGGACGCCGUGCCGACCUUCUACUCGACGGUCAGACCCGGAGACGCCUGACACGAAACCUCAGCACCUCCACACAUGUGUACAGUCACAUUCUGAUGGAGAUGACCACAGAGACGUUUAAUCACACAGCGUUUUGAACAGUUUAAAAUAGCUUCAUGUCAGGGCAUGGUCAUGUAGAAUUUGACAAUCUUUGGUCAACGCUUCAUGAGAAAACGUGUCAGAGUUUGGUUUAAUGUUGACGUUAUCUUAUUAUACUUUCUACUCUGUAAAAUAGUGUUUCAGAGGCUCUUUGCAGCCGUGCAACUGCGAAAAAGAAAACUAACAACAAACCCUGACAGAUAAAGAAGAGGUCAGAACUGCAGAGUCCGGUUUUUAUUGAGGGUUUGACGCCCUGAGUGACGUCUUUUAUUAGACAUGUCCUCACAUGAUCCAGUAUUUAUAGACGUGAAAAGGGUGCAGCCUUUUACUACACUGUAAAUGUUUGACUUUAUUGAUAUAUGUGCUUAGUAAAUUCUUUGCCUCGCAUAUUUGUGAACUAUUUUUGGCAGAGAGUUUCUAUGUGUGUCAAACAUUGACUUCCACAUUUCGCUCGGUUUGACUGACGUCAUCCAGCAGGGAUUUCCUCGCUCAACUCACGCCCACAGGAAACCUCGACGAGUUUCACUGGAAUUAUCACACCACAGCUGUUCCCUCAGCAAUCAAGCUGUAGUUUACAUGCGUCAGAGUUUCCCACUCAAUGAGAGCAAAACUGUUACAUACAUGUUACAAAUAUUUAAAGAACACAGUACAGAACCCUCAAUAUGAAAAAACGGCGGACAACAGGCCAACAUUAAACAAGAGGUUCAACCGUCUUGGUUUCCAGGAGAGACAGAGGUCAUCUCUCAGAACAUUUAAUUAUCAGGAAGCUUCUCUUGAUGCUGUUAUAAACCGGUACGAGGGAUACAGAGCGAGGGAAGACUGUCCACUUAUUCACGUUGGAUGGCAAGUUUGUCUUGAAUGUGUAAAAUAAAUAAAUAAAUAAAGCAGAAGUUUU
Molecule: non-coding RNA, 1140 nt
Organism: Labrus bergylta (ballan wrasse)
Lineage: Eukaryota; Metazoa; Chordata; Actinopteri; Labriformes; Labridae
Source: RefSeq, a predicted model, not a curated record